AGUGAACGCUGGCGGUAGGCCUAACACAUGCAAGUCGAACGGCAGCACGGGAGAGCUUGCUCUCUAGGUGGCGAGUGGCGGACGGGUGAGGAAUACAUCGGAAUCUGCCCAGUCGUGGGGGAUAACGUAGGGAAACUUACGCUAAUACCGCAUACGACCUGCGGGUGAAAGAGGGGGAUCGCAAGACCUCUCGCGAUUGGAUGAGCCGAUGUCGGAUUAGCUAGUUAGCGGGGUAAUGGCCCACCAAGGCGACGAUCCGUAGCUGGUCUGAGAGGAUGAUCAGCCACACUGGAACUGAGACACGGUCCAGACUCCUACGGGAGGCAGCAGUGGGGAAUAUUGGACAAUGGGCGCAAGCCUGAUCCAGCCAUACCGCGUGGGUGAAGAAGGCCUUCGGGUUGUAAAGCCCUUUUGUUGGGAAAGAAAUCUUUCAGGCUAAUACCCUGUGAGGAUGACGGUACCCAAAGAAUAAGCACCGGCUAACUUCGUG
Molecule: ribosomal RNA, 490 nt
Filed under: uncultured bacterium
Lineage: Bacteria
Description: partial 16S ribosomal RNA
Rfam family: Bacterial small subunit ribosomal RNA
Source: RNAcentral